Molecule: ribosomal RNA, 460 nt
Filed under: uncultured bacterium
Lineage: Bacteria
Description: partial 16S ribosomal RNA
Rfam family: Bacterial small subunit ribosomal RNA
Source: RNAcentral
CCUACGGGAGGCAGCAGUGAGGAAUAUUGGUCAAUGGACGCAAGCCUGAACCAGCCAUGCCGCGUGAAGGAAGACGGCUCUACGAGUUGUAAACUGCUUUUGUAAGAGGGUAAACGCAGAUACGUGUGUCUGUCUGAAAGUAUUGUACGAAUAAGGAUCGGCUAACUCCGUGCCAGCAGCCGCGGUAAUACGGAGGAUUCAAGCGUUAUCCGGAUUUAUUGGGUUUAAAGGGUGCGUAGUAGGUGGGAUAAGUAAGAGGUGAAAGCCCGAGGCUCAACCUUGAAAUUGCCUUUGAUACUGUCAGUCUAGAGUAUAGUUGCGGUAGGCGGAAUGUGUGGUGUAGCGGUGAAAUGCUUAGAGAUCAUAAAGAACACCGAUUGCGAAGGCAGCUUACCAAGCUGCUACUGACGUUGAGGCACGAAAGCGUGGGGAGCAAACAGGAUUAGAUACCCGAGUAGUC